RNAcentral lists this ribosomal RNA (497 nucleotides) under uncultured bacterium. RNAcentral's name for it is "partial 16S ribosomal RNA". It matches the Rfam family "Bacterial small subunit ribosomal RNA", at positions 28 to 507 of the family's 1533-position model. The record is from RNAcentral.
GAUGAACGCUGGCGGCGUGCCUAAUACAUGCAAGUCGAGCGAACGGACGAGAAGCUUGCUUCUCUGAUGUUAGCGGCGGACGGGUGAGUAACACGUGGAUAACCUACCUAUAAGGCUGGGAUAACUUCGGGAAACCGGAGCUAAUACCGGAUGAUAUUUUGAACCGCAUGGUUCAAAAGUGAAAGACGGUCUUGCUGUCACUUAUAGAUGGAUCCGCGCUGCAUUAGCUAGUUGGUAAGGUAACGGCUUACAAAGGCAACGAUGCAUAGCCGACCUGAGAGGGUGAUCGGCCACACUGGAACUGAGACACGGUCCAGACUCCUACGGGAGGCAGCAGUAGGGAAUCUUCCGCAAUGGGCGAAAGCCUGACGGAGCAACGCCGCGUGAGUGAUGAAGGUCUUCGGAUCGUAAAACUCUGUUAUUAGGGAAGAACAUAUGUGUAAGUAACUGUGCACAUCUUGACGGUACCUAAUCAGAAAGCCACGGCUAACUACGUG